ACACAUGCAAGUCGAGCGGAUGACGGGAGCUUGCUCCUUGAUUCAGCGGCGGACGGGUGAGUAAUGCCUAGGAAUCUGCCUGGUAGUGGGGGACAACGUUUCGAAAGGAACGCUAAUACCGCAUACGUCCUACGGGAGAAAGCAGGGGACCUUCGGGCCUUGCGCUAUCAGAUGAGCCUAGGUCGGAUUAGCUAGUUGGUGGGGUAAUGGCUCACCAAGGCGACGAUCCGUAACUGGUCUGAGAGGAUGAUCAGUCACACUGGAACUGA
RNAcentral lists this ribosomal RNA (269 nucleotides) under Pseudomonas sp. 3.60.44. RNAcentral's name for it is "partial 16S ribosomal RNA". It matches the Rfam family "Bacterial small subunit ribosomal RNA", at positions 51 to 322 of the family's 1533-position model. The record is from RNAcentral. Lineage: Bacteria; Pseudomonadati; Pseudomonadota; Gammaproteobacteria; Pseudomonadales; Pseudomonadaceae.